CACACACACACACACACACACAUACACACACAAACACAGCAAAGGGGAUUAUUAUUUAUUAUGCAUUUUUCUUGGGCCAGAAACUCUGUCAGGUGCUUUUAGAUAUGUCCUCUCUAAUCUUCACUCCAAAUCCUCAUGUGAUAGGAACAAGCUCAAAAACAGAAAGAAGUUCAAUUUGACCAAUAAUUACUUUUAAGAAACUAAAUUCCAAAUUUUUCCCAGGAUUUCAGAAAUGUUGAAUUAUGGUAUGAUACUGGUGUAGAGAAAACUCCUUCUUUCCCGUAGCUGAAUUUUGUCUCACUCUUCACUUUACAGGAUGUGUUUUUACCUGAGUUAAAAACAAGUUUUUAAAAAAAAUUAAAAGUUGGGAGACAGAUUAAGAUGGUGGACAGGAGGCAGGACUAGCUUGCAGCUCCCACUUGGAUGGUCAGAGCAGUGUGUGGAGACUCACAUCGUUAACUUUUGCUCCAAGAACUACUGCAGGAACAUACCAGGAAAGCUGAGAGAAUCCACAAACGCUUUGAAGGAACUGGAUCACUGCUGCAGGCUCCCUGAGACACCAAAAAAUGAGCAAAAUGAAGCCAUAAAAAUAUCUACCAACCCUGGGAAGCUCUUGCAUAAAUGACUGGUGUUUAUUGCUAAGAAUCCCUUUAAAUAGAGCUUCAGAAGGCCACAAUCAAUUGCUUCAAAAGACUUUAGCAGAAUAACUAUCAUCAUCAAGAUGCAUGAGGUCAGCAGUUUACAACAACAUUUGAUGGAGUCUUACUCUGUCAACCCAGGCUGGAGUUCAGUGGUGAGAUCUUGGCUCAUCGCAACCUUCGCCUCCUUGAUUCAAGCGAUUCUCCUGCCUCAGCCUCCCCAGUACCUGGGAUUACAUGCAUGUGCCACCAUGCCUGGCUAAUUUUUGUGUUUUUAGUAGAGAUGGGGUUUUGCCAUGUUGGCCAGGCUGGUUUCAAACCCCUGACCUCAGGUGAUCUGCCUGCCUCAGCCUCCAAAAGUGCUAGGAUUACAGUCAUGUGCCGCUAUGCCCGGCUAAUUUUUGUGUUAUGGUAAUACAAUUAUUUGCAUAAGUGUAAUAGAAAUCUGUUUUCAUUUGUAAUAGGAUGCAAUUGGAGGACCUGGUUAUUUUACCAAGUCUUGGACUGGAAUGGUGUGCUUUCCUUUAAGGAAUCAAACUUGACUUACAGAGCCAAUAAAUCCCCUUGGGGAAACUGGCCUUAUAUCUUUGUCCAUUCACCCCAGUACAGGGUUCCUGACCUGUGGUAAGUAAAGAAUGUCACUUUCUGACAGGUCUAGGUCCCCAAGUUUAUCUUGGAACCUCGAGAGAAUCACCCAACUCACAGGUAUUUGAUGGCACACAUCCAUGGCUUGGCUCAGCUUUAAAAAAGUGUUACCCAAGAUUCCUUCUAUGAAACAAAGUCCCAGCAAAGCCAAUUUAAAAGCCUAUGUAAAAAAUAAUUACUCUUGCUGCACUGUAUACAAACAAUUAGGCCAAGUGGAAUAAAGCAAGACAAUUCUACCAUGAUUUGUCUUUAGCAAAAAUAGGAAACUGGAGAGAUAAAAAUUAUGUUUCCAAAAUUAUAGUACACCUAUUGUUAGAUUCUCAUCUUGCCUAAUGUUUUUCAAUUUUUACUAUUUUCUACAAUUUGGGCUAAAUUGUAAUUUUUUCUUGGCUACAAGUCUUCAAAAUAUGUUUUCACUUUUUUUCCUUUUUUCCAUUUUUCCUAAUUGGGAGUCACUGAAAACUAAGAAGUGCUUUCUUAAAGCCCUGCAAACUGAAACUAGACAACUUAAACUUCAGAACAAAAUAACAGUAACCUAUUUACGUACAUAAGCCACUUUUUUUUUUUU
RNAcentral lists this long non-coding RNA (1851 nucleotides) under Homo sapiens (human). RNAcentral's name for it is "HSALNT0073474". Lineage: Eukaryota; Metazoa; Chordata; Mammalia; Primates; Hominidae. The record is from RNAcentral.